Molecule: ribosomal RNA, 1745 nt
Filed under: Vibrio cholerae
Lineage: Bacteria; Pseudomonadati; Pseudomonadota; Gammaproteobacteria; Vibrionales; Vibrionaceae
Description: partial 23S ribosomal RNA
Rfam family: Bacterial large subunit ribosomal RNA
Source: RNAcentral
AUUGGGUAGGGGAGCGUUCUGUAAGCCGUUGAAGGUGAAUCGUAAGGUUUGCUGGAGGUAUCAGAAGUGCGAAUGCUGACAUGAGUAACGACAAAGGGGGUGAAAAACCUCCUCGCCGGAAGACCAAGGGUUCCUGUCCAACGUUAAUCGGGGCAGGGUGAGUCGACCCCUAAGGUGAGGCCGAAAGGCGUAAUCGAUGGGAAACGGGUUAAUAUUCCCGUACUUCUGACUAUUGCGAUGGGGGGACGGAGAAGGCUAGGUGGGCCAGGCGACGGUUGUCCUGGUUCAAGUGCGUAGGCUUGAGAGUUAGGUAAAUCCGGCUCUCUCUAAGGCUGAGACACGACGUCGAGCUACUACGGUAGUGAAGUCAUUGAUGCCAUGCUUCCAGGAAAAGCCUCUAAGCUUCAGAUAGUCAGGAAUCGUACCCCAAACCGACACAGGUGGUCGGGUAGAGAAUACCAAGGCGCUUGAGAGAACUCGGGUGAAGGAACUAGGCAAAAUGGUACCGUAACUUCGGGAGAAGGUACGCUCUUGAUGGUGAAGUCCCUCGCGGAUGGAGCUGACGAGAGUCGCAGAUACCAGGUGGCUGCAACUGUUUAUUAAAAACACAGCACUGUGCAAAAUCGCAAGAUGACGUAUACGGUGUGACGCCUGCCCGGUGCCGGAAGGUUAAUUGAUGGGGUUAGCGCAAGCGAAGCUCUUGAUCGAAGCCCCGGUAAACGGCGGCCGUAACUAUAACGGUCCUAAGGUAGCGAAAUUCCUUGUCGGGUAAGUUCCGACCUGCACGAAUGGCGUAAUGAUGGCCACGCUGUCUCCACCCGAGACUCAGUGAAAUUGAAAUCGCUGUGAAGAUGCAGUGUACCCGCGGCUAGACGGAAAGACCCCGUGAACCUUUACUACAGCUUGGCACUGAACAUUGAACCUACAUGUGUAGGAUAGGUGGGAGGCUAUGAAGACGUGACGCCAGUUGCGUUGGAGCCGUCCUUGAAAUACCACCCUUGUAUGUUUGAUGUUCUAACUUAGACCCGUUAUCCGGGUUGAGGACAGUGCCUGGUGGGUAGUUUGACUGGGGCGGUCUCCUCCCAAAGAGUAACGGAGGAGCACGAAGGUGGGCUAAUCACGGUUGGACAUCGUGAGGUUAGUGCAAUGGCAUAAGCCCGCUUAACUGCGAGAAUGACGGUUCGAGCAGGUGCGAAAGCAGGUCAUAGUGAUCCGGUGGUUCUGUAUGGAAGGGCCAUCGCUCAACGGAUAAAAGGUACUCCGGGGAUAACAGGCUGAUACCGCCCAAGAGUUCAUAUCGACGGCGGUGUUUGGCACCUCGAUGUCGGCUCAUCACAUCCUGGGGCUGAAGUCGGUCCCAAGGGUAUGGCUGUUCGCCAUUUAAAGUGGUACGCGAGCUGGGUUUAGAACGUCGUGAGACAGUUCGGUCCCUAUCUGCCGUGGGCGUUGGAAGAUUGAAGGGGGCUGCUCCUAGUACGAGAGGACCGGAGUGGACGAACCUCUGGUGUUCGGGUUGUGUCGCCAGACGCAUUGCCCGGUAGCUAAGUUCGGAAUUGAUAAGCGCUGAAAGCAUCUAAGCGCGAAGCGAGCCCUGAGAUGAGUCUUCCCUGACAGUUUAACUGUCCUAAAGGGUUGUUCGAGACUAGAACGUUGAUAGGCAGGGUGUGUAAGCGUUGUGAGGCGUUGAGCUAACCUGUACUAAUUGCCCGUGAGGCUUAACCAUACAACACCCAAGGGGUUUUGUA